CCUACGGGUGGCAGCAGUGAGGAAUAUUGGUCAAUGGGCGCGAGCCUGAACCAGCCAAGUAGCGUGAAGGAUGACUGCCCUACGGGUUGUAAACUUCUUUUAUAAAGGAAUAAAGUUAGACACGUGUGCCUUUUUGUAUGUACUUUAUGAAUAAGGAUCGGCUAACUCCGUGCCAGCAGCCGCGGUAAUACGGAGGAUCCGAGCGUUAUCCGGAUUUAUUGGGUUUAAAGGGAGCGUAGAUGGGUUGUUAAGUCAGUUGUGAAAGUUUGCGGCGCAACCGGAAAAUUGCAAUUGAUACUGACAGCCUUGAGUACAGUUGAGGUAGGCGGAAUGCGUGGUGUAGCGGUGAAAUGCUUAGAGAUCACGAAGAACUCCGAUUGCGAAGGCAGCUUACUAAUCUGCCACUGACAUUGAUGCUCGAAAGUGUGGGUAUCAAACAGGAUUAGAUACCCUUGUAGUC
This 460-nucleotide ribosomal RNA is filed under the name uncultured bacterium. RNAcentral describes it as "partial 16S ribosomal RNA". It matches the Rfam family "Bacterial small subunit ribosomal RNA", at positions 338 to 795 of the family's 1533-position model. The record is from RNAcentral.